This 833-nucleotide ribosomal RNA is filed under the name uncultured bacterium. RNAcentral's name for it is "bacterial SSU rRNA". It matches the Rfam family "Bacterial small subunit ribosomal RNA", at positions 43 to 883 of the family's 1533-position model. The record is from RNAcentral.
CGUAGGUGCUAUACUGCAGUCGAACGAGGCCCUUUGUAUUCGUACGAAGGUGUCCUAGUGGCGAACGGGUGAGUAACACGUAGAUGACCUGCCCCGAAGAUAGGGAUAACCCCGGGAAACUGGGGCUAAUACCUAAUGUCCUUCACGGUGUUAGAGUACCAUGAAGGAAAGGGAGCAAUCCGCUUUGGGAGGGGUCUGCGGCCCAUCAGCUAGUUGGUAGGGUAAUGGCCUACCAAGGCGACGACGGGUAGGGGGCCUGAGAGGGUGGUCCCCCACAAUGGCACUGAAACACGGGCCAUACACCUACGGGUGGCAGCAGUAGGGAAUAUUGCACAAUGGACGAAAGUCUGAUGCAGCAACGCCGCGUGCGCGAUGAAGGCCUUCGGGUUGUAAAGCGCUUUUCUGGGGGAAGAGGAAGGACGGUACCCCAGGAAUAAGUCUCGGCUAACUACGUGCCAGCAGCCGCGGUAAAACGUAGGAGGCGAGCGUUAUCCGGAUUUACUGGGCGUAAAGCGCGUGUAGGCGGUUUGGUAAGUCGGACGUUAAACCUCCCGGCUCAACUGGGAGAGGCCGUUCGAAACUACCAGACUCGAGGGCAGUAGAGGGAGAUGGAAUUCCGGGUGUAGCGGUGAAAUGCGUAGAUAUCCGGAGGAACACCAGUGGCGAAGGCGGUCUCCUGGACUGACCCUGACGCUCAGACGCGAAAGCUAGGGGAGCGAACGGGAUUAGACACCCCGGUAGUCCUAGCCGUAAACGAUGCAGACUUGGUGUUGGUUGUUUAAACACAAUCAGUGCCGUAGCUAACGCGAUAAGUCUGCCGCCUGGGGGAUUAC